Long non-coding RNA from Cotesia glomerata, 540 nucleotides. RefSeq lists it as uncharacterized. NCBI's taxonomy places the organism in Eukaryota, Metazoa, Arthropoda, Insecta, Hymenoptera, Braconidae. The transcript is spliced from 2 exons. The record is from RefSeq and is a predicted model, not a curated record.
AAAAUUUAUCAAAAAAUAAAUACUUGGUUGAGUAAUGCAUAAAAAUUCCACUAACCAAUGAGAGACAUUUUCUUAAAAAAAUCAAUCCAACCCAAUUGCCUUAAUAUUUAAAGAGUUGAAAAAUUUUAUUGGGAAUGGACAGUAUAUAAGACGCGAAAAUUAUACUGGAAAAUCAUAAAUUACUUAAUCGCAAAGAUGAAAAAGUUUAUUGUUUUAUUCCUUCUUGUGUCAGUUGUUGCUGCAGCUCUUGCUGCCUCCAGCGGUAGCACAGGUGGCUCUUCAGGUGCAUCUGCAAGCUCAGGUGGCGGCAAUGCAGCUUCUACUGCAAGUACUGACUCGUCGUCAUCAAGCCAAUCUGAUAGUGGAGGCUUCAUGGACAGGGCCAUGAAAAUGUUUAGUGGAAUAAUGUAAUUAAAAUGGAGAUCACCACAUUUGUACUUAUGAACAUGUUUGAUCAAAAUUAACAAAUAUGAACAACUAUCUCUAUCAAUUUUUGUGAAUCUUUUGGAAAACAAAAAUAAUUCGUUUCAAUUUUAGCUU